Molecule: transfer RNA, 64 nt
Filed under: Sphingomonas aerophila
Lineage: Bacteria; Pseudomonadati; Pseudomonadota; Alphaproteobacteria; Sphingomonadales; Sphingomonadaceae
Description: tRNA-Ser
Source: RNAcentral
GCGGUUUGCUUGAGUAGCCUUCGUAAUGCGGGGGUCGCAGGUUCGAGUCCUGCAAGCGGCACCA